GAUGAACGCUGGCGGCGUGCUUAACACAUGCAAGUCGAACGGUGAAAGAGGAGCUUGCUCCUCUGGAUCAGUGGCGAACGGGUGAGUAACACGUGAGUAACCUGCCCCAGACUCUGGGAUAAGCACUGGAAACGGUGUCUAAUACCGGAUACGAGCUUCAGCCGCAUGGCUAGGAGCUGGAAAGAAUUUCGGUCUGGGAUGGACUCGCGGCCUAUCAGCUAGUUGGUGAGGUAAUGGCUCACCAAGGCGACGACGGGUAGCCGGCCUGAGAGGGUGACCGGCCACACUGGGACUGAGACACGGCCCAGACUCCUACGGGAGGCUG
RNAcentral lists this ribosomal RNA (325 nucleotides) under uncultured Actinomycetes bacterium. Its description in RNAcentral is "bacterial SSU rRNA". It matches the Rfam family "Bacterial small subunit ribosomal RNA", at positions 28 to 351 of the family's 1533-position model. Lineage: Bacteria; Bacillati; Actinomycetota; Actinomycetes. The record is from RNAcentral.